AGCGAACGCUGGCGGCAGGCUUAACACAUGCAAGUCGAACGGUCCUUCGGGAUAGUGGCGGACGGGUGAGUAACACGUGGGAACGUACCCUUAGGUUCGGAACAACACAGGGAAACUUGUGCUAAUACCGGAUAAGCCCUUCGGGGGAAAGAUUUAUCGCCUUUGGAGCGGCCCGCGUCUGAUUAGCUUGUUGGUGAGGUAAUGGCUCACCAAGGCUACGAUCAGUAGCUGGUCUGAGAGGAUGGCCAGCCACACUGGGACUGGGACACGGCCCAGCCUCAUACGGGGGGCAGCAGUGGGGAAUCUUGCGCAAUGGGCGAAAGGCUGACGGAGCCAUGCCGGGUGGAUGAUGAAGGUCGUAGGAUUGUAAAAUCCUUUCACCGGGGACGAUAAUGACGGUACCCGGAGAAGAAGCCCCGGCUAACUUCGUGCCAGCCGCCGCCGUAA
Molecule: ribosomal RNA, 447 nt
Filed under: uncultured bacterium
Lineage: Bacteria
Description: partial 16S ribosomal RNA
Rfam family: Bacterial small subunit ribosomal RNA
Source: RNAcentral